UAGGGAAUCUUCCGCAAUGGGCGAAAGCCUGACGGAGCAACGCCGCGUGAGUGAUGAAGGUCUUCGGAUCGUAAAACUCUGUUAUUAGGGAAGAAUAAAUGUGUAAGUAACUAUGCACGUCUUGACGGUACCUAAUCAGAAAGCCACGGCUAACUACGUGCCAGCAGCCGCGGUAAUACGUAGGUGGCAAGCGUUAUCCGGAAUUAUUGGGCGUAAAGCGCGCGUAGGCGGUUUUUUAAGUCUGAUGUGAAAGCCCACGGCUCAACCGUGGAGGGUCAUUGGAAACUGGAAAACUUGAGUGCAGAAGAGGAAAGUGGAAUUCCAUGUGUAGCGGUGAAAUGCGCAGAGAUAUGGAGGAACACCAGUGGCGAAGGCGACUUUCGGGUCUGUAACUGACGCUGAUGUGCGAAAGCGUGGGGAUCAAACAGG
Molecule: ribosomal RNA, 429 nt
Filed under: Bacteroidota bacterium
Lineage: Bacteria; Pseudomonadati; Bacteroidota
Description: Bacteroidetes bacterium partial 16S ribosomal RNA
Rfam family: Bacterial small subunit ribosomal RNA
Source: RNAcentral